UGUUGUUAACUUUUCUGCUAUCAAUGUGUUGAAGAAAAUUGUAGGCCUCAUUUGAGACGGUUGGAUUGUCUGAAGCCGAUGAAAGUCAUCCAUGUAAACCUCAGACUAGCUUUGAAAUCAAUUGUCCGAAAAAGAAAGAGAAAAUUAAUGGUCCAGAGGUAAUGCAAUGUUUUAUGAACUUCCUGAGAGGUCACUAGAUGAGACAGUUAAUGAUGGACUAAGAGCAUAUCUCAAAGGUGUAUCUUUCAAAUUGAUCUUAUUGACGGUAUUGCUACAGUCACAACAUCUAUCUCUGGUGAAUUGGGAGAAAAACUACUCUCCAUGACAGCGGAAGACAUAUUUGACAUAACUUGUGCUAAGAGGCAAUCAUUGCAUGUUAAUCAUGUCCAUGAGAUGUUGUCCAACAAACUAUUUCAAAUUCAGCUAAGGAAGUCAUCUUGGGGUACCUCAAACAACACACAAGAAACUUACUCCAUUAUUUCCUACAUGGAAAAGCAACAUACUCCGCCAACCACUAUUGAUAGGAAUUUCAAAAAGAUAAGACCUUUGGAGAUAAGUGAGAUGGAGGUGACAGAAACAACUACUGCAACUGGUUCUUCAAAUGCAACUCUGAAAUUUGAACCACCCACACCAACAAAAAAACUGUAAAAGGUUAGUCUACAUCUGAUUAUCACAUUUAUUAUUGAAAAUCAAACUAUAAAUCACAAUAAUUAACAGCUCAAAACUUACAAGUAUUUGAAAUUUAUUAAAAUUUAAAAUUUAUCCAUGCUGUUAGCGAAAACAUGAACGAAACAUUGAGGUGUCUUUCAUUCAUUUACAAUGCUUUCGGUUUUGCUUUAAUCAAAGGAUCACUACUUUUUGGCCUCCUCCAUUGCAGUCAUACAAAACAAAUUUAGAACCUCUUGAUUUCAUAUAGUGUGAGAGGCUUGCUAAAAAUGUUUGUACAAACAAGAAAGUCAUAAAAAUUUGAAGAAAAUCAGGGAUACCAUGCCUCUGUUUGCAUCUUUCGGACUAUCUGUUUAGAAAGAAAAGAGAGAUAUUUUUGAAACUCCAAAAAUUCAUGUCUUUUGUAAACAAUAGAUGCUUUCAGAAUUAAUGUUUUGAUGUAGGAGACAUGGAAGCUGAUAUUUCUCAAUAAUUACAGUUCAUUGAGU
This is a non-coding RNA of Solanum lycopersicum (tomato), 1154 nucleotides long. NCBI's taxonomy places the organism in Eukaryota, Viridiplantae, Streptophyta, Magnoliopsida, Solanales, Solanaceae. The record is from RefSeq and is a predicted model, not a curated record.